CCUGACUCAUUCCAAAGCCCAGUUUGUGUUCUGGAGGGGCUCAGGGCUGCGUGCAGAAUCCAGUCACAAAGGUAGGCACUGUUGCAAGGAGAAGUGUUUGGGGCAUCUCUUCAGCUCCUUCACAAAUGCUUUUUCUUCUUCUUUUUAAAAAAAGUAAUGAUACAAGCACAAGGUACCGAGUUCAAUCCCUGGUACCAAAAAAAAAAGUAAUGAUAAAAAUAUUUGGAUAAAUGUUACGUAUAUCUGCUUUAUAAAUCCAACAGUACUGCAAGGUUUAUAACCAGAACAGCCAUCCCCAAUGGUUAUCAUUUUUGCUCAAAUAAUAUUUUAUCUCCUAACAUUGUUGAAAUCUUUCAUCCAUUCUUAUCAUCUCUCCUACUUUUUAUUUUCCUUGAACCUUGUGGGUCUAUACACAUUUUUAAUUCCUUCAUUGCCAUCACACGGGUGAACUGGGGAAGGACAGAAGCUAAACACAUCUGUUAUAGUAAACAGAAGUCCCUCUUCUUGCCCCUGCUCCCCUGAAAGAUUCUGUGUACAUGCCUGCCUUUGGGGAGGAGGCUUGUACUGGGGAUUGAACCCAGGGAGGAGGAGGCUGCAUCUCAGUCCUUUUAUUUUAUUUUGAGACAAGGUCUUGCUACGCUGCCCAGGCUGGCCUCGAACUUGUGACCCUCCUGCUGCAGUGUCCCAAGUAGCUGGGAUCGAAGGCCCGCGCCACCAUGUCCAGCUCCAAAUGUCACUUUUCGGAAGUUGCCAAAUGGUCCAGUACUCAUUUAGCUCACACUGAGGCUGGCGCUGGGCUGGGAGCUCCUGGCCUGCAGAGGCUCCCUUCUGUGAGAACUCAGGGCCCUCCCUCCCCAGGACAUCUGGAGAGGGUGAUUACACAGCGGGACCUGGAUGGGGCGGCAGAGCUGGCGGCCCCCCCCACAGCCCCUCCACCCCGCCCUCAGCCCCCCUGGCUCUUUUCAAGCAGCCUGAGAGCACAGGGAAGGUGGUUUGUGCCGCGAGGAAGCCAAAAUCGCACUUCUGCUUGGUCUCGCAGGGCAGCUCAUCUGGAUCAGAACCGUGACCUCCCCGUUGUUCAUGCUGGCUGCAGGUCCUUGUUCAGUCCUUCUGCCUGCAGAGCGAGGGAAACCUCCCCGCCAGGGAGCGGGGCAACGUGGACUCUAGGACUGGGGUGCACUGAGUCUUGAUUUUGCUCUCCUCCUCCCACACAGGCCCAACUUUGGAAUGAAGAAAGCCACUUACCAGUGCAUAAAAAGAAAGCUGGAAAUUAACAACUCAAAAUGCUCCGGUAGGGAACUCUCCUAGAGCCUCCAGCCAGGCUCUUCUUCGGUUGCUGAGGUUGGAAAGCUGUGUUUCAUUUACAUAUUUAUUUCUGCUGCCAACCUGCAGCGGCUCCUGGCCACCUCCAUGAUUCUAGGAUGCAGACCACAUAGGGUAAGAGGGCAGAAGGAGGGAUGGUAAGAGACCAGACAAUGUACUUUGCACUCUGGCCUUUUUGGGCAGUGUGUGUAGCCCUGUACCUGGAAAUAUUUGGAUAAACCAGGCAUGGUGGCGCAUACCUGUGACCCCAGCCCUCAGGAAUCACUGGGAGUUUGAAGCCAGCCUGGGGUACGUGGUGAGUUCAAGACCAGCCUGAACUGCAUAGCGAGACCCUGUCUCAAAACAGAACCAAAAAAAAAUAUAUUUUUGAUAAAGGCAGAUAAACCUGGGCCAAAAAAGGAUUUGGAGUAAACCUGCUGGUUCUAACUUCCUUUAAGAGACCGCAGAGUUAGCUGGGUGUGGUGGCACGGCCUGCAGUCCCAGAACUCUGGGCAGUUGAGGCAGAAGGAUCAAAAGUUUGAGUCCAUACUGGUCAAGUUAGUGCCCUACAAGACCUUGUCUUACAAUAAAAAAUUUAAAAAGGGCUAUGAAUGUAGCUCAUUAGGAAGACCCUGGGUUCAAUCUCCAUACUAACCUAGGGAGAGAGAGAGAGAGAGAGAGGGAGAGAGAGAGGCAGACUCUGUGUGUUUAGCUCAACAUCCACCCCUCUGUAGCAAUCCUGCCAGGCUGACGCUGAGCUCUCACCAUACAGGGCCCUCGGGAGUGCCCAGUUACCACGCCCUCUGUUCUGCCAAGAAGAGCAGGAUCUGGGCCUUGGAGCGCUGUGCCGCAUGUCUGACACUGUAGAAUUUAAAGACCUGUGGGAAGAGACCCCUUUCCACAAAUAAGAGCUGCCGGAGCAGCCCAGGGGAAUCCCCAAGUCCCUCCCUGCCGUGAAUCAGGGCCCUGUGCUGAAACGCACAUCCCACUCCCUGAAACUCAGACUCACAAGUGAGUCAACAGCGCACAAGCCGAGGGGUAGACAGGGGGAAUUGACAGAGGCAUGCAGUUCCCAGGCACAGCGGGGGUGCCUGAGCCCCAAAGGGCUGGUUUCUCCAGGGCUGUAGAGGGGCUCACCAGGUGCUCUCCUCCCUGGACCUCGCAGAUGAGGCACGGUCGCCAGCAAAGCAGACUGCAAAGUGGUGUCCCGCUGGGUCUCACACGUGGAGAGUCAGGGCUUCCUCCUUGAGGAUCUCUGCCUUGGUUGCUCCUCUUUCUCCCCUUUCAUCAGUUCCUCAGGAGAGGGACUCUUUGUUCUGUUCCAUGUAGUAGGGACAGUGCCUGGAUCCACGGGCGAUUUUCUUUUACGCAGUUAACAUCAGUCAGAGUAGACUCUGGGUGGGAUGCUGAUCAGAGUCCAAGUGCAAAGAGCCGUGGGUUGGAGGCCUAGUCUCGGUUUUGUGGCUACAUUGCUGUGUGGCUUUGAAUAAAUCACACAACCUCUCUGGGAUCUCAGCUUUCUCACCU
Heterocephalus glaber (naked mole-rat) is the source of this 2829-nucleotide long non-coding RNA. The record is from Ensembl. NCBI's taxonomy places the organism in Eukaryota, Metazoa, Chordata, Mammalia, Rodentia, Bathyergidae.